AAGCAAACAAGGAACCGAUUCUUUGCUUUCUGUGCUCUUGAGACUUUAAAUAUUUCUCCCCAUCUCAGUUUUGGUGGGAGAUGGGAGGGUAUUACAAGCUAUAAUGCAAUCAUUUGGAUGCUUAACUGCAGACGAGAAGAAUUGGGAAUGCUUUGUAAAAUUUCCCAAAAGAGUGAAAUGCUCUGUCAGGGGUCCAAUGCCCCCAUCCUCUGCUUGGACAAACAUCUCUGUCCAGCUGGGGCUGCCACAACGGACCAGACGGAGGAUGUUUUGGCUUCGGCUUCUUUACCAUGCUGUCAAACCCAAGCCCUCCGACAGCCUGACUCCUCUCACGGGCUAGAACAAACAAGGAGAUUGCAAUUGAAGAGCACGGCUUGGAGGUUCGUCGGAUUCUCUUCGAGGGAACAGAGGACUAACUUAGACUUGGAAGGUCAGAGUGAAGAAAAGCUUUAAUAAGCACCAGUAAAGCGUUACACAUGGCGCUGUUCGGAAGACAGAUAUGGUUCCUGACCUGCGGGGCCCGGGUUCUAAAACACACAGGGACAGCCAUGUCUAGAUUUCAUGCACAGGUCUCUUUUCCCUAGACAGCCUUGAUCCCUGGAAAUGUGGCUUCCAAGUGCCCCAGCAUGGACAGUGCCAGUCUGAGGAAUGAAUCAGCCAGCUCUGCCACCCCCUGCCCUGGGCUGCGGAGCAACCUGAACGUCCCUUUUACGGAACCAAAGUGUGUUUGGUGUUUUUUGCAAGCCUGCUGCUCCUUGCGGAACGGAUGGUCCUGCCCACUUCUGGAUUCCUCGGGCUUUUGGUGGUGCCUGAUGGACACUAGGAAUGCAAUAGAAGACAAAUAAGUGGGAGAUUGGAUAUACCAGGUUAAAAUAGCCCAGUCCCCUAUGGGGUUCCUCCACAUUGACUACAGUUAGGUAAAUUCAAACCCUUAAACUCACAAGGCUUUGAAAACUGUGAUUGCGUGAAUCCUGAUUACAAACCACCUGAGGGAAUCAUUUGGCUCCCUAAGACCAGCUGAGUCUGUGUGCAAUAAAGGAGGAGAGAAACUCUGGAGAAAGGCCCAGGGAGACGGGGGAAACCAAAGAAAUAUUAGGAAGCCCCAUUCUCCAGAAGUGGCCAACAAUUUUCCUCCCACAUACAUUAAAAAGUAUAGUCUAUACUUCGACCAGACAGAAAAAAUAUGGACAUGAUCUGGGACAAAGUCAUCAAAUCUUUGAUCCCCUUGGGCACUCGAUAGAAUAAAUGGUUUUCCACAUCACACAGGAGAAUUUUAAGUGCUUUGGGUCUGUGGAAGUGGGGCAUAGUGGUGGUGACAUCUGUCAAACAAAGAAACCCUCAAAUGCUUUAAUGUGGUGGCUGCUGGAUGAGAGAGGCGCAGAAGUGACCGUCUCCUGUAAGCCAAUGGUUCUGGAAAUGGGGUCUCUGCAGCAGCAGCAGCAUCACCUGGGAGCUUGUUAGAAAGGUGGCUUCUUGGUCCCACCCAGGACUGACUGAAUCUGAAAUUCCAGGAGGGUUGUCCAGCUAUGUGCGUUUUAACAAGCCCUCCCCACGAUUCCAAUGCAGGCUGAAGUCUGAGAACCACUGACAUAAAGCAUUACCUUGCAGUGAGUGACUCGGGGCCAAGAGCCUGACCCAGGGCCACAGCCAUCGAGUGACCUAAAAAAAGUAAGGGAUGACUCAGCUGAGGAGCUGAGCGUGGCCAGGCCGCCUGUCCUGAGAGCCUGAGGGCAUACGCAGCCACAGGGGAUUGCAAAGCUGGUCUAACCCAACCCUAGGUAUCCCAUCUUACCACCAGCCUCUCCCGAUGCCUGUCGUGACUUGACCUACUGUGA
RNAcentral lists this long non-coding RNA (1835 nucleotides) under Equus asinus (donkey). RNAcentral's name for it is "lncRNA (ENSEASG00005036550.1)". The record is from RNAcentral. Lineage: Eukaryota; Metazoa; Chordata; Mammalia; Perissodactyla; Equidae.